ACUCCUACGGGAGGCAGCAGUAGGGAAUCUUCCACAAUGGACGAAAGUCUGAUGGAGCAACGCCGCGUGAGUGAAGAAGGGUUUCGGCUCGUAAAACUCUGUUGUUAAAGAAGAACAUAUCUGAGAGUAACUGUUCAGGUAUUGACGGUAUUUAACCAGAAAGCCACGGCUAACUACGUGCCAGCAGCCGCGGUAAUACGUAGGUGGCAAGCGUUGUCCGGAUUUAUUGGGCGUAAAAGCGAGCGCAGGUCGGUUUUUAAGUCUGAUGUGAAAGCCUUCGGCUCAACCGAAGAAGUGCAUCGGAAACUGGGAAACUUGAGUGCAGAAGAGGACAGUGGAACUCCAUGUGUAGCGGUGAAAUGCGUAGAUAUAUGGAAGAACACCAGUGGCGAAGGCGGCUGUCUGGUCUGUAACUGACGCUGAGGCUCGAAAGUAUGGGUAGCAAACAGGAUUAGAUACCCCGUGGUAGGAUAGCG
Molecule: ribosomal RNA, 476 nt
Filed under: uncultured bacterium
Lineage: Bacteria
Description: bacterial SSU rRNA
Rfam family: Bacterial small subunit ribosomal RNA
Source: RNAcentral